This 253-nucleotide ribosomal RNA is filed under the name uncultured bacterium. RNAcentral describes it as "partial 16S ribosomal RNA". It matches the Rfam family "Bacterial small subunit ribosomal RNA", at positions 524 to 776 of the family's 1533-position model. The record is from RNAcentral.
GACGAACCGUGCGAACGUUGUUCGGAUUCACUGGGCUUAAAGGGAGCGUAGGCGGGCUACCAAGUCCGGGGUGAAAUCCUCCAGCUUAACUGGAGAACUGCCUCGGAUACUGGAAGUCUCGAGGAGGAUAGGGGCAAGUGGAACCGUGGGUGGAGCGGUGAAAUGCGUUGAUAUCCAUGGGAACUCCGGUGGCGAAGGCGACUUGCUGGAUCCUUUCUGACGCUGAGGCUCGAAAGCCAGGGGAGCAAACGGG